RNAcentral lists this ribosomal RNA (253 nucleotides) under uncultured bacterium. Its description in RNAcentral is "partial 16S ribosomal RNA". It matches the Rfam family "Bacterial small subunit ribosomal RNA", at positions 524 to 776 of the family's 1533-position model. The record is from RNAcentral.
UACGUAGGUGGCAAGCGUUAUCCGGAUUUAUUGGGCGUAAAGGGAACGCAGGUGGUCUUUUAAGUCUGAUGUGAAAGCCUUCGGCUUAACCGGAGUAGUGCAUUGAAAACUGGGAGACUUGAGUGCAGAAGAGGAGUGUGGAACUCCAUGUGUAGCGGUGAAAUGCGUAGAUAUAUGGAAGAACACCAGUGGCGAAAGCGGCUCUCUGGUCUGUAACUGACGCUGAGGUUCGAAAGCGUGGGUAGCAAACAGG